This 152-nucleotide ribosomal RNA is filed under the name Lodderomyces parapsilosis. Its description in RNAcentral is "Candida parapsilosis 5.8S ribosomal RNA". It matches the Rfam family "5.8S ribosomal RNA". From Rfam's summary of the family: 5.8S ribosomal RNA (5.8S rRNA) is a component of the large subunit of the eukaryotic ribosome. It is transcribed by RNA polymerase I as part of the 45S precursor that also contains 18S and 28S rRNA. Lineage: Eukaryota; Fungi; Ascomycota; Pichiomycetes; Serinales; Debaryomycetaceae. The record is from RNAcentral.
AACUUUCAACAACGGAUCUCUUGGUUCUCGCAUCGAUGAAGAACGCAGCGAAAUGCGAUAAGUAAUAUGAAUUGCAGAUAUUCGUGAAUCAUCGAAUCUUUGAACGCACAUUGCGCCCUUUGGUAUUCCAAAGGGCAUGCCUGUUUGAGCGU